Molecule: ribosomal RNA, 842 nt
Filed under: Cercospora loranthi
Lineage: Eukaryota; Fungi; Ascomycota; Dothideomycetes; Mycosphaerellales; Mycosphaerellaceae
Description: eukaryotic LSU rRNA
Rfam family: Eukaryotic large subunit ribosomal RNA
Source: RNAcentral
AAACCAACAGGGAUUGCCCUAGUAACGGCGAGUGAAGCGGCAACAGCUCAAAUUUGAAAUCUGGCGCAAGCCCGAGUUGUAAUUUGUAGAGGAUGCUUCUGGCCAGCGGCCGUUCUAAGUUCCUUGGAACAGGACGUCAUAGAGGGUGAGAAUCCCGUAUGUGACCGGCGCGCAGCCUUUACGUAGCUCCUUCGACGAGUCGAGUUGUUUGGGAAUGCAGCUCUAAAUGGGAGGUAAAUUUCUUCUAAAGCUAAAUACCGGCCAGAGACCGAUAGCGCACAAGUAGAGUGAUCGAAAGAUGAAAAGCACUUUGGAAAGAGAGUUAAAAAGCACGUGAAAUUGUUGAAAGGGAAGCGCUUGCAACCAGACUUCGUAGCGAUGUUCCGCCGGUCUUCUGACCGGUCUACUCAUCGUCGCGAGGCCAACAUCGUCUGGGGCCGCCGGAUAAGACCUAAGGAAUGUAGCUUCCCUCGGGAAGUGUUAUAGCCUUUGGUGAUGCGGCGCGUCUCGGGCGAGGUCCGCGCUUCGGCAAGGAUGUUGGCGUAAUGGUUGUCAGCGGCCCGUCUUGAAACACGGACCAAGGAGUCUAACAUCUAUGCGAGUGUUCGGGUGUCAAACCCCUACGCGUAAUGAAAGUGAACGGAGGUGGGAAGCGCAAGCUGCACCAUCGACCGAUCCUGAUGUCCUCGGAUGGAUUUGAGUAAGAGCAUAGCUGUUGGGACCCGAAAGAUGGUGAACUAUGCCUGAAUAGGGUGAAGCCAGAGGAAACUCUGGUGGAGGCUCGCAGCGGUUCUGACGUGCAAAUCGAUCGUCAAAUUUGGGUAUAGGGGCGAAAGACUAAU